UAUGGAAUGGAGUAGAGGAAUCUCAUUAGGUUCAUAACCUAAAGGUCACAGGUUCAAAUCCUGUUUCCAUUGCCA
Molecule: transfer RNA, 75 nt
Filed under: Candidatus Hodgkinia cicadicola
Lineage: Bacteria; Pseudomonadati; Pseudomonadota; Alphaproteobacteria; Hyphomicrobiales
Description: tRNA-Met
Rfam family: tRNA
About the family: Transfer RNA (tRNA) molecules are approximately 80 nucleotides in length.
Source: RNAcentral